CCUACGGGAGGCAGCAGUGGGGAAUAUUGCACAAUGGGGGAAACCCUGAUGCAGCGACGCCGCGUGAGUGAAGAAGUACUUCGGUAUGUAAAGCACUAUCAGCAGGGAAGAAAAUGACGGUACCUGAGUAAGAAGCCCCGGCUAACUACGUGCCAGCAGCCGCGGUAAUACGUAGGGGGCAAGCGUUAUCCGGAUUUACUGGGUGUAAAGGGAGCGUAGACGGCAGGGCAAGUCUGGAGUGAAAGGCGGGGGCUCAACCCCCGGACUGCUCUGGAAACUGUCCGGCUGGAGUGCAGGAGAGGUAAGUGGAAUUCCUAGUGUAGCGGUGAAAUGCGUAGAUAUUAGGAGGAACACCAGUGGCGAAGGCGGCUUACUGGACUGUAACUGACGUUGAGGCGCGAAAGCGUGGGGAGCAAACAGGAUUAGAUACCCGGGUAGUC
Molecule: ribosomal RNA, 440 nt
Filed under: uncultured bacterium
Lineage: Bacteria
Description: partial 16S ribosomal RNA
Rfam family: Bacterial small subunit ribosomal RNA
Source: RNAcentral